This 73-nucleotide transfer RNA is filed under the name bacterium. RNAcentral's name for it is "tRNA-Thr". It matches the Rfam family "tRNA". From Rfam's summary of the family: Transfer RNA (tRNA) molecules are approximately 80 nucleotides in length. The record is from RNAcentral. RNAcentral also lists the same sequence under 3 other names.
GCCGGUGUAGCUCAGUUGGUAGAGCAGCUGAUUUGUAAUCAGCGGGUCGGGGGUUCAAAUCCUCUCGCCGGCU